CCUACGGGAGGCAGCAGUGGGGAAUAUUGCACAAUGGGGGAAACCCUGAUGCAGCGACGCCGCGUGAGUGAAGAAGUAAUUCGUUAUGUAAAGCUCUAUCAGCCGGGGAGAAAAUGACGGUACCUGAGUAAUAAGCCCCGGCUAACUACGUGCCAGCAGCCGCGGUAAUACGUAGGGCGCAAGCGUUAACCGGAUUUACUGGGUGUAAAGGGAGCGUAGACGGGAAUGCAAGUCUGGAGUGCAAGGCGGGGGCUCAACCCCCGGACUGCUCUUGAACAUGUACGGCUGGAGUGCAGGAGAGGUAAGUGGAAUGCGUGGGGUAGCGGUGAAAUGCGUAGAUAUUAGGAGGAACACCAGUGGCGAAGGCGGCUUACUGGACUGUAACUGACGUUGAGGCUCGAAAGCGUGGGGAGCAAACAGGAUUAGAUACCCGAGUAGUC
This 440-nucleotide ribosomal RNA is filed under the name uncultured bacterium. RNAcentral's name for it is "partial 16S ribosomal RNA". It matches the Rfam family "Bacterial small subunit ribosomal RNA", at positions 338 to 795 of the family's 1533-position model. The record is from RNAcentral.